This 207-nucleotide ribosomal RNA is filed under the name uncultured bacterium. RNAcentral's name for it is "partial 16S ribosomal RNA". It matches the Rfam family "Bacterial small subunit ribosomal RNA", at positions 568 to 774 of the family's 1533-position model. The record is from RNAcentral.
GGCGUAGGCGGCUUGGCAAGUCAGAUGUGAAAUCCCAGGGCCCAACCCUGGAACUGCAUUUGAAACUGCCUCGCUAGAGUCGCGGAGAGGAUGGCGGAAUUCCCGGUGUAGGGGUGAAAUCCAUAGAUAUCGGGAGGAACACCAGUGGCGAAGGCGGCCAUCUGGACGCUGACUGACGCUGAGGUCCGAAAGCGUGGGGAGCAAACA